Molecule: ribosomal RNA, 257 nt
Filed under: uncultured bacterium
Lineage: Bacteria
Description: partial small subunit ribosomal RNA
Rfam family: Bacterial small subunit ribosomal RNA
Source: RNAcentral
GGGACGAACGCUGGCGGCGUGCUUAACACAUGCAAGUCGAACGGUAAGGCCCCUUCGGGGGUACACGAGUGGCGAACGGGUGAGUAACACGUGAGCAACCUGCCCUUGACAUUGGAAUAACAGUUGGAAACAGCUGCUAAUACCGGGUAUGACCUUUCAUCGCAUGGUGGGGGGUGGAAAGCCUUGGCGGUCAAGGAUGGGCUCGCGGCCUAUCAGCUAGUUGGUGAGGUAAUGGCUCACCAAGGCUUCGACGGGUA